UCUCACGGGGUGCUCGCCAGUCGAGCUGAGAGGCGAUGGUCGCCAACCCGACGAACCUGAUCCGGGUCAUGCCGGCGGAGGGAUUGAGGA
Molecule: non-coding RNA, 90 nt
Filed under: uncultured Alsobacter sp.
Lineage: Bacteria; Pseudomonadati; Pseudomonadota; Alphaproteobacteria; Hyphomicrobiales; Alsobacteraceae
Description: TPP riboswitch (THI element)
Rfam family: TPP riboswitch aptamer (THI element)
About the family: Vitamin B(1) in its active form thiamin pyrophosphate (TPP) is an essential coenzyme that is synthesised by coupling of pyrimidine and thiazole moieties in bacteria. The previously detected thiamin-regulatory element, thi box was extended, resulting in a new, highly conserved RNA secondary structure, the THI element, which is widely distributed in eubacteria and also occurs in some archaea. Analysis of operon structures identified a large number of new candidate thiamin-regulated genes, mostly transporters, in various prokaryotic organisms.
Source: RNAcentral